Molecule: ribosomal RNA, 437 nt
Filed under: uncultured archaeon
Lineage: Archaea
Description: bacterial SSU rRNA
Rfam family: Archaeal small subunit ribosomal RNA
Source: RNAcentral
UAAAGGUGAGUGCGGCGCACAGCUCAGUAACGCGUGGCUAACCUGCCCUUGGGACGGGGACACCCCCGGGAAACUGGGGUUAAUCCCCGAUAGGCGAAGACCUCUGGAAUGAGUCUCCACCCAAAGGGUGCUUACACUAUGCUUGUAAGUAUCGCCCAAGGAUGGGGCCGCGACCGAUCAGGUUGUUGGUGAGGUAAUGGCUCACCAAACCUUUUACCGGUGCGGGCCGUGGGAGCGGGAGCCCGGAGAUGGGCACUGAGACAAGGGCCCAUGCCCUACGGGGCGCACCAGUCGCGAAAACUUUGCAAUACACGAAAGUGUGACAGGGCUAUCCCGACUGCCAUCCGCUGAGGAAGGCUUUUACCCAGUUUACAACGCUGGGAGAAUAAGGAGAGGGCAAGACUGGUGUCAGCCGCCGCGGUAAUACCAGCUCUUCG